Molecule: long non-coding RNA, 1062 nt
Organism: Oreochromis niloticus (Nile tilapia)
Lineage: Eukaryota; Metazoa; Chordata; Actinopteri; Cichliformes; Cichlidae
Exons: 5
Source: RefSeq, a predicted model, not a curated record
ACGUUAAUGAGACAUUUCUGUGGCUUAUUGCAGAUUGAUAAAACGACACAUCACCUUAAUAAAGACGGAAAUCUUUAAUAAGAGUGAAACAGAACUUCGGUUUUGCCUUUGCUGGAUACUGAUCUGGUCGUCGCAAGUCUGAGUGAACAGAUCUUUGGCUUUGCCUUUGCUGGUGACCUGCUGCAGAAGAUCCUCUCUCUCUAUCAUUAUAAGCAAUUCUGUCUAUCCUAUCUCUCUCCCAACUCUAUCUAAUUUGACAGCCAUUCUAUCUUGUAUCCCUCUCUCUACUGCUCUAUCUAAUUUGACAGCCAUUCCAUCUUGUAUCCCUCUAUCUCUACUGCUCUAUCUAAUUUGACAGCCAUUCCAUCUUGUAUCCCUCUAUCUCUACUGCUCUAUCUAAUUUGAGAAUCCAAGUUUUCAGAAAUCCAAGUUUUCAGAAUCCAAGUUUUCAGAAAUCCAAGUUACCAGUACUUGAUCUAUCUGUUACAGAAUUCUGAGAGAUCUCUGCUCUCACUGCUCCUUCUUUCCUGUCAUUAAGCUCUCUCACAUUCAGUCAUUUUGCUGGAAAUUACAAGUUGAAUAUACAGUAGUAGAAUUACAGUACAGUAGAACUUAUAGUAGAAACUACUUACACAGCCCUACAUUUGUCAUUUUAAUUUUGCAUUAGACUUUAGUUUGGACUGCUAGUUUGGCUUACUUUGAUCAAUUGUAUAAAAUAUCACCUUUUUAUAAGUUUAUUUGUAAUAAGAUAAUCUGGUUAUUUUGUAAUACAUACAUUCAGAUAAAUAAUAAAUUAGAUCCAGUCUGUUAGUUGUUUCAUUGGCUAUAACAUUUGACUGCAAGUUUAUAGUAUUAUUAUUUAAGGACAAACCCAUUUUGUCACUCAGUGUAAGUAUUCAGUUAGUAUUGUCAUCGAGAAGCGCCUGAGGACCCAGACUUCCUGUUUCCUGACUGCUGCAGAAAAUCCAGCUGAAGAAUCCUCAUCGCCUGUCAUCUUAUCACCACACCACCAAAGCUCCAUAUAUUUGAUUUAAAUUUUAGAUAUCUGAAAGAUUUACAUAA